This is a long non-coding RNA of Arabidopsis thaliana (thale cress), 4946 nucleotides long. RefSeq annotates it as other RNA. Lineage: Eukaryota; Viridiplantae; Streptophyta; Magnoliopsida; Brassicales; Brassicaceae. The record is from RefSeq. The transcript has a single exon.
UUGCAUAUAAUAUAAUAAAAUCAUACAAUGUUCUUAGUUUACUUUUUCUGUUUUUGUAUCUACUUUGACAUCAAUUGCUCAAAUGUUUUUAAAAACUUGGAAGAUGAGAUCAAAUCAAAAUAAGAGGAUCCUUUAUAAUUUUAUUUUCCUGCAAGAAAUCAACCAAAAAUUAUUAAAGAUCUUAGAUAUUAUAUUUGUUAAAAUCAAUAUCAGAAAGAAAAGCAUACAUAGAAAACAUUAAACAUGAAACUUUAUAAAUAACCAUUAUAUGAUGAGAAAAAGAAACAAAACUCUCAAAAAGAAAAUUAUUUUUAACCAUAAAAAUUUGGGAAUUAUGUCAACGUAUUAAAUAAAAAAUUGGACAUUGAAAAAACAUCAAAUAUCUAAUGAAAAACCUUAAGACUAACCUUUGAUUUGAUGAUGUGAUGAGACGUUAAAGGUGAAGACUAUUUAAUGUAUGCAGAAAACAACAAGGUACACAUGGCCGGCUCAAAUUUGUUUUGGACCUAAUGCCCAAAUUUUUUAUUUUCUGAAAACUUAAGUCGUUGUUUGAAAAGUUUUAAAAUUUUGGACUUUUGUUUACAAAAUAAAACAAAUUAGGACCUUAAAAACUUAGAAAAAUUCGAAAAAAUGUGGAUCCAUUGCUCUAACACUGCCAUCACUGCCUGUAAGCAGGCCCUGAAGGUACAUACCAAACGAAUAAGAAACGAGUUUGAGGCUGAAACAUAUUAGAUAUUUGGAUCUAAACUUAGUGUUAUCCAAAUGAGUAUGAUGUUAUUAAAUUUUGUUUAAUAGAAAAGGUAAAAGACACUUUUAUCAAGUCGGUUGUUGGCUGUGUCUUAACAAUGAUUUACUUGGUUUGUUUCUUGAAUGUUGUUCUCAGUAUCAGCUUGGUUGGUUUCUUGAAUGUUGUUACCACUAUCCUCUUGGUUUGUUACUUGAAUGUUGUUCCCACUAUCCUCUUGGUUUGUUUCUUGAAUAUUGUUGCCAGACGUUUGUUGGGUUGGCGAACAAGAACAUUUCUCCACGUUAUUGAUGUACGAAUCUCCAUCUGGUCGAUGAAACUCUUUCCACAAAUCAGCAACCUGAUUUUUCUUGAAGAACAAGAAAGUGAAUUUUCCGAGGGUGAAAAGACACAUUAUGAAAGCAACAACAAACAAAAGCCAGAAACUGUCUACACCGAGCUGCCUAGAUGAUGUUGACGGAUUUGGAUCUGGAGUUGUGACUGGAUCCGGGCAAGUUUCAUCUUUAUUUUUGAAAUAUUUGAGAUCAAGAUCCUUUGCUUUGGAUGAUUCCGCCACUUUUAGGAUGGCCCUUGAUACAUCAGCAACCAGUGGUGACCCAAUUGGAAAAACCUGCGAAAAACGAACAUAUGAUCUUAGCAUUUAUUUUAGAGCUAUUCUUAGAACAAUUUCGUUAUGGGAACUCACGAAACCGAAUCCAUCAACGCUAAAGGGUUCUUCAACCAUUUGAUAAUCUUUGCAGUAUUGUCCAAGAAAGAGCCUCAGGUAGGGUACUUCCAUGAAAGCUGCAGAGAUACCGCCUUUCUUUGGUCCUUUUCUCAAAAGCUUGUCGCAAUCUUCCGCGCUAUCAAAGGGUAUGAGGCUGGAUGAAGUGAAACCUGAUUCUUUAAGUUUUCCAAAGAUGAAUGAUGUCCUUGGUUAUCCCACAUUUUCUCCUUUCUCGAGCAAACUUCUCAUGCUGGUUACGGUUGGAUCAAGUUGUCGUGAUGUCAAAAGGGACGCCAAGCUGGCUGUGUAACUUUGAGUCAACACGAGCACAAUAAAGUACCAUGUGAUAACCAGAAGCCUAGCUCCAAAGCUGAACACUCUUUCUCCUGCAAGUUGCAUAUUAAUAGAGUAAGCAUUAAGGAAAGAAGUAUUUUUUUAACACUCACUAUAUGUUGAGAUAUGGAAAGGGAAUUUACUUGGAGCAAAAACCAUGGUAGAAAAGGCAAACCAGAAGAUUGUACUAACUUGGUACUUAGCUGGUCCGCGAAAGUCCGGAUUAAUCCUAUGUUCAAUAACCCAAACAGUAAAACCAAUGAGGAAGAAGAAGAAAAAGGAAGUCAUCCAAAGUUUCCAUGUUAAGGGCUUCAAGAAACUGAUACUGUCUCUUGCCACUUGGUCUUCUACGGGGACAAUCAAUCCCACACCAGAUUUAGUAAAUGGAAUGUGAAGUCGACAUAAGAGGACCUAUUUGCCAAUAUAGUCGUAUCUCCCACAACCGCGUCAUAAUUCUGCGAUAGAGACAAAAAAAUGUAAAAGGAGAUUCAAUUAGGGACCUCACUAGGAUAAUCUCUCUAAAUGGGAGUGUGUUGGGAAUGCAUGGAUGGUCUAACUCACCCCAAGGUAAACUUGGUAGAUUAGAUCGUUGUGAUUUCCGGCUGGUUUACCGUCCGAUGUUUCAAAAGGAAAGAAAUCAUAGGAGAUGUCAUAAGGCAUUUUUUGGAUCACAGCUUCAAAGAAAGCUAUGCAAAAACCUUUGACUUCUUGUGAAUUCGUGGUAGGAUCCAUGGUGACCUCCACAAGAUCGGUGUAACCAGUUCUUUUUGGAACUCCAAUGCGCAACCUCUUCCCGUUCGUUGGGAUCUCCCAUCCUUUGGGAACAUAGUUAGCCUCUCCGGGCCAUAUUAUCUGCUUAAGAUGAUCUUGCCAAGUGGAUAACGCACCCGUGUUUUGCGGCUCUUGGUCUAAUUUCUUCACAAGACCAUUUUCUUCCGUCCAAAAUCCUAUUGACCUUUCUCUGGUUCCAAUCACAUUAACUAUCUCAAACACCCAUGGUUGUAGUUGUCCUUCGACAAAACGGAAAUCUCCUGCAAGUCCUUUCAACCGAACUGUUGUGAGUGUCUUGCGAAGUCUUGGACCGUAUUGAGAAAAACCAAGAGCUUCAAGUUCAGACACAUUCUUUCUGAACUCCACAUUACUAAAAGUCAUGUUAUCUGUUCCAGCUUCUUCAAUAGCUAUUGCCAAUGCGAUGGUAGCAUCAUAAGCCCACAAUCCAUAGACAUUCAGGUCCAUCCCUGGGAACUUCUUCCUCCAACAAGCUCUAAACUUUUCGAGGUCAUUUGAUUUCCGAAUAUAAGUUUUAACACCCAAUACCCCUUCCAUAGCCUCAAUACCCGCCUCAUCUACCAAACUUAACUCAUCGGUUACUCCACUGGUAAGGAUCCAAACAUAUCCUGGUUUCAUCAAACCAAUCUUCUUAAUUUUAGUAAAGACUCUUGAGGCAAGAGAAGAGGGCAUGUGGACGAUAAAAACUCUUGUGGGCAUGGUCAUCAUCUUAGAAAGCUCUAGAGAGAUUUCAUAAUCAGUGGCAUUGAGAGAGAUAACAUAUCUGUAUGAUAUUCGAACGUUAAUCUCUUGUAAUGCAUCAGUAAGAUGUGGCAUAAUACCUUCUCCAAAUGAGUUGUCGAUGUAAACAAGCACGACUUCUCUCCACCCAAACAACUUGAUGAUAGAUUUUAUGGCCUUUACUUGAAAGGAGUCCUCAUAUGUAGCACGGAAAAAGUAUGGACUGCGUAGAGAAGUAAGAAACGGACUUGUUGCAGAGUAAGAAACAAUCGGCACCCGAGAUUUUUGUCCAAUAUCAAUCAUAAAAUGAGCUUGCAUGGAUGUCCAAGGCCCCAAAAUCGCUACCACGUGCUUGUUCUUUAUCAGCUUAAGAGCUGUUACAACAUCAAAACAAAUAAAACAUUGGCUGAGUAGGAGAUAAUAUAGAAACAACAAUGUUUGACUUUAGUAAAACAUGAUACAAAAUAACAUUUUGAGAACUAUAAUUAAUUCAAUAAGCUUAUAGCAAUGAACGCGCGCAACCUACAAUAUAAAUUUCAAAAAAUCUUGUAUCCACUGUCUGUAAAAUAUCUAAGUUUAGGGAAUUCACUCUGAUAAUAGGCUAAAACAAUUUAGGUUUUCACAAACCUAAGAUAGAUCAAGACCUACAACCAAAAUCAAUAAUGAUAAUGGAAACCGAUAGUGAUUUCAAAAGAAAGAAAAGCCAAUAAUAAUGUAAACUUUUUAAAUAUAUAUAUACUCCAUAUGUUCAAAAUAUAAAAUGUUUUAGUUAAAAUCAAGCAUAAUUUUUUUAACAAAACCUCUCAUUUUUUUUGUAUAUAUCAUUAGAUCGACAAGAUCCAAUCCGUAACCAAUCCCUAAUACGAGGGAUAACGAGACUUAGUGGAGUCAAACUCCGGUGAGGUGGAGUCGAAUGGACUUAACCAUUUGACUAAAGUCACAUUUCAAAUAAAAACCUAUUAGUUAAUGCUCCAUUUAAAAAAAAAUCAACCGAUUAUAAAAAAAGACUACAAAAUACAAAAAUUUCAUAUAGAAUAUAAAUUAUAUUUAAAGUUUGCAUAUAAUUUUGUAAAUCAUCCUAUAUAUAAUAGAUGAAGGACGAGCUCUCCAGAAAUUGAAAACAAUUUGAAUGAACUAGAAUAUGAGGAAGAAGUAAGUAUUAGGAAAAGAAUAGGUAUAAGACCAACUGCAGCGGUAGUUUCUUAGUAGAAACUCAUACAAUUAAAAAAAAUAAAAAUAUUUAAAUGUUAAGAAAAAGUUGAGAGAGAAUCUCUAAAAUUCCUAAUUUUAGGAUCGUUUAUACAAUUCCUAUAUGUUGAUUUUUCUGUUUUUUUGAUAUGAAAGUAAAAUAUUAAUACUUUUUGUUUUUUUAGAAACUAUAUGAAUCCUAUACGUUGGAGCUGCUCUAAGAUCACUCCAAGAAACACGGAAAUAAAAAACAGAGGAUUGCGGUAGUUAAGGUUUAGCUGGAGGAAAAAGAAGAUAUGUGAGAAGUUACGUUUUUACCCAUGUCAUUUAAAUUAAAAACUGAACAUGUGGCUUAAGAGAAUCAUUAUUGGUAUUAUCUUAGACUAGUUCUUAUGUUAAUUAGAUAUGAAAUAUAAUGUUUUUAUUGAUUAUAUUAUUAAGAAGGAAAAUAUCACUCGAUAUGCU